UGAGUAUGCUGGGUAGCCGCGGGAACUGGCCAUCGGCGACAGUUCCUGAGGAAAGUCCGAGCUCCGCAGGGCAGGGUGCUGGAUAACGUCCAGUGGGGGCGACCCUAAGGAAAGUGCCACAGAAAUAAACCGCCCGGCACUUAUUUCACAUAGGGCUUAACAUACGCUAUUGAAAUUAAGUGUCGGGUAAGGGUGCAACGGUGCGGUAAGAGCGCACCAGCAGCCGGGAGAUCGGCUGGCUAGGCAAACCCCACCCGGAGCAAGACCAAAUAGGAGAAGGAUGAAGUUGCCCGCUGACUUCUCGGGUUAGGUCGCUGGAGGUAUUAGGCAACUAAUACCCUAGACAGAUGGCUACCACUCUUAACAGAGUACAGAACUCGGCUUAUAGGCUUGCUCAAACC
RNAcentral lists this RNase P RNA (401 nucleotides) under Bacillota bacterium. RNAcentral's name for it is "Firmicutes bacterium (anaerobic digester metagenome) RNase P RNA component class A". It matches the Rfam family "Bacterial RNase P class A". Rfam says of the family: Ribonuclease P (RNase P) is a ubiquitous endoribonuclease, found in archaea, bacteria and eukarya as well as chloroplasts and mitochondria. Its best characterised activity is the generation of mature 5'-ends of tRNAs by cleaving the 5'-leader elements of precursor-tRNAs. Lineage: Bacteria; Bacillati; Bacillota. The record is from RNAcentral.